RNAcentral lists this small RNA (1662 nucleotides) under Pan troglodytes (chimpanzee). Its description in RNAcentral is "retained intron". The record is from RNAcentral. Lineage: Eukaryota; Metazoa; Chordata; Mammalia; Primates; Hominidae.
GAGGUUCCGGUUCUGUGGUGAUCUGGACUGUCCCGACUGGGUCCUGGCAGAAAUCAGCACGCUGGCCAAGAUGGUUAAGUGCACAGGGUCUACACUGGGUGGAGGAGGGGUGUUGGGCUGGGGAUUGUGGCUGUAGAGGAUGGUGAGGUUUCUCUGGGGCUAGGGCCUCAGUGCUCUCAGCCUGUGCUGCCAUGCUUUGUGACCUUGAUCAGUGGCUGGCCUGCUCUGAGCCUGUCCCCAGGAAGGAGGGGUGAGGUUUGCCAGCCUGGCUGAUGUAAGGACUUCCCUUCCAGUCCUCUGUGAAGUUGCGGCUGCUCUGCAGCCAGGUACUAAAGGAGCUGCUGGGACAGGGGAUUGAUGUGAGUACAAGAUCCAGCACCCCAUUGUCCCAUGACCUUAUGACCACCACUGCCCUGAAACUCUGCACUAGGCCCGGGGAGACGGGUGAGCCAGCCUCUCAACCUCUCUGGGCACCUCCCUUCCUUCUUUCCAGCCUGUCUGUUCCUUAUCGCAGGAUCCAGGCUGGGGGUGAGGGGCUGGUGAGCAAGGGCCUGGCACCCCCUGAAGGUCUCCUUUCCCCAUAGUAUGAGAAGAUCCUGAAGCUCACGGCUGACGCCAAGUUUGAGUCAGGCGAUGUGAAGGCCACAGUGGCAGUGCUGAGUUUCAUCCUCUCCAGUGCGGCCAAGCACAGUGUCGAUGGCGAAUCCUUGUCCAGUGAACUGCAGCAGCUGGGGCUGCCCAAAGGUACGGGUUGUGGGUUGGCAGCUGGGCAGCCUGUCGGCCAAGGGCUGCUAGAGAGGGGACAGGCCCUGAGGUGUACCCUGCCCUGUUUGGGCCAGGAGCCCAAGCCCAGCCCCCACCUGCUACCUCCAGAGCUUCUCCAUUCUACCCCCAGAGCACGCGGCCAGCCUGUGCCGCUGUUAUGAGGAGAAGCAAAGCCCCUUGCAGAAGCACUUGCGGGUCUGCAGCCUACGCAGUAAGUAUGAGGCCAGCCAGGGUCCGGGCUCAUUCUAGAAGGUGCACGCAGCACGCAAAGUGCAUGGAGAGUCCAGGGAGACGACUUAACCACGGUCACAUGGUUACUAGCAGCCGUAGAGCUGGGACCUGGCCCUGGGUCUCCUGACUCCCCCCAAGGUUUCUUGUCACUGAGGUCUGCUGUGGGUGAUGCGAACUGAUUAUCGGGCACCUGCCCUGUUCUGAGCCUGGGUCAGCAGGAUGGGAGCUUCUUAGAGGCCACAUAGCCUUGAAUGGUUGAGAGCUGAGCCAGGGUGUCGGCUGAGGUCUACUUGGCUUGCCUGCUUUGAUCCUGAGAGCCACCCACCCCAUCUCACAGUGAAUAGGUUGGCAGGUGUGGGCUGGCGGGUGGACUACACCCUGAGCUCCAGCCUGCUGCAAUCCGUGGAAGAGCCCAUGGUGCACCUGCGGCUGGAGGUGGCAGCUGCCCCAGGGACCCCAGCCCAGCCUGUUGCCAUGUCCCUCUCAGCAGACAAGUUCCAGAUCCUCCUGGCAGAACUGAAGCAGGCCCAGACCCUGAUGAGCUCCCUGGGCUGAGGAGAAGGGUGUUCCAGGCCUGUGUGGAGCCGCCCUGCCCAUAUGGAGUCACGCCCUCUGAACUGCUCUUCGGGAGGCAGCCCUGGUUCUAGGAUGCUGAGGCCCUGGCCC